Molecule: unclassified non-coding RNA, 280 nt
Filed under: uncultured Basidiomycota
Lineage: Eukaryota; Fungi; Basidiomycota
Description: sequence contains ITS2
Source: RNAcentral
UGUAUGAUUUUUUGUACUUCCCUUCCCGGUAGCUUGCCUACCUGGUCAUCCGAAAUACAGUCGACAAAUGCAUGUUUUCCUGUAGCUUAUAGUUUCAUGACUAUACGCUCAACUGAAGCAAGUUCCAUAAUUACCUUAAUAGGUUCUAUUGCUGCUAGCUCAGUUGGGGGUGUUGUGAAUCUUUGAGUGUCGGGAUACAUGAGGCUGUUGAUAAUACGGGUUGUGGGGACCCCUCUCAAAUUUCGUCAUCAAAUCAGGUGGGAUUACCCGCUGAACUUAA